RNAcentral lists this ribosomal RNA (535 nucleotides) under uncultured bacterium. RNAcentral describes it as "bacterial SSU rRNA". It matches the Rfam family "Bacterial small subunit ribosomal RNA", at positions 974 to 1509 of the family's 1533-position model. The record is from RNAcentral.
UUAGGCCUUGACAUACUAAGAACUUUCCAGAGAUGGAUUGGUGCCUUCGGGAACUUAGAUACAGGUGCUGCAUGGCUGUCGUCAGCUCGUGUCGUGAGAUGUUGGGUUAAGUCCGCAACGAGCGCAACCCUUUUCCUUAUUUGCCAGCGGGUAAUGCCGGGAACUUUAAGGAUACUGCCAGUGACAAACUGGAGGAAGGCGGGGACGACGUCAAGUCAUCAUGGCCCUUACGGCCAGGGCUACACACGUGCUACAAUGGUCGGUACAAAGGGUUGCUACCUCGCGAGAGGAUGCUAAUCUCAAAAAGCCGAUCGUAGUCCGGAUCGCAGUCUGCAACUCGACUGCGUGAAGUCGGAAUCGCUAGUAAUCGCGGAUCAGAAUGCCGCGGUGAAUACGUUCCCGGGCCUUGUACACACCGCCCGUCACACCAUGGGAGUUUGUUGCACCAGAAGUAGGUAGUCUAACCGCAAGGAGGACGCUUACCACGGUGUGGCCGAUGACUGGGGUGAAGUCGUAACAAGGUAGGCGUAGAUGA